RNAcentral lists this long non-coding RNA (582 nucleotides) under Monodelphis domestica (gray short-tailed opossum). RNAcentral's name for it is "lncRNA (ENSMODG00000046670.1)". Lineage: Eukaryota; Metazoa; Chordata; Mammalia; Didelphimorphia; Didelphidae. The record is from RNAcentral.
GUAUAUUCUCUCUCUUUCUCUCUGUCUCUGUCUCCCUCUAUCUUUAAAAAAUCCUUAUCUUCUGUUUUAGAACCAGUAUUGGUUCUAUGGAAGAAGAGCAGAAAGGACCAGACAAGUGGGAUUAAAUAAAUCACUCACUGUCACAUAAUUCAGAAGUGUCUGAGGUCCAAUUUGAAUCCAGGACCUCACAUCUCCAGGACUUGGUUCUCUAUCCAUCUAGCCACCUGACUGACCCAGUGAAAAGUCUUCUAAAUGGCUUCAGUGUCAGAAGCAUUGGUGACUCAGGAGGUACUGAGUAUGCAUACAACAGAGAUGACUCAACUAUCUUUCAGUUUCUUUCUGAUGGAAGCUUCAGAGAGCCAUCUUUUAUAAACAAAGAACAAAACAAAACGAGGAGGGAAGAAGGCAGUCCAGCAAAAUUAACCCAGUCAUAAGCCAAGUGUAACAUUGUGUGUGAUGUUCGACAGCCGUGGUUCUUCUCCUCUGCAAAGAAGGGCGGGAGGUACAUCCUGUCAGUUAGUAAGUAUUUAUUAAAUAUCUAUUUCCUUUUUUAUUCCUAAAUUUUAUUUUAUUUUUCUCCAA